GCCUAAUACAUGCAAGUCGAACGCUGAAGCACUCUGCUUGCAGAGUGUGGAUGAGUGGCGAACGGGUGAGUAACACGUGGGGAAUCUGCCUAGGAUGGGGGAUAACAUUCGGAAACGGAUGCUAAUACCGCAUAGAUUCGCGAACCGCAUGGUUCAUGAAUGAAAGACGGCUUUGCUGUCGCUCUUAGAUGAUCCCGCGGCGUAUUAGUUAGUUGGUGAGGUAAUGGCUCACCAAGGCGACGAUACGUAGCCGACCUGAGAGGGUGAUCGGCCACACUGGGACUGAGACACGGCCCAGGCUCCUACGGGAGGCAGCAGUAGGGAAUCUUCCACAAUGGGUGCAAACCUGAUGGAGCAAUGCCGCGUGAAUGAAGAAGGUCUUCGGAUCGUAAAGUUCUGUUAUUAGAGAAGAACAAGUUGAGGAGUAACUGCCUCAACCUUGACAGUAUCUAACCAGAAAGUCACGGCUAACUACGUG
Molecule: ribosomal RNA, 478 nt
Filed under: uncultured Atopostipes sp.
Lineage: Bacteria; Bacillati; Bacillota; Bacilli; Lactobacillales; Carnobacteriaceae
Description: bacterial SSU rRNA
Rfam family: Bacterial small subunit ribosomal RNA
Source: RNAcentral